UUUAGAUCAUAGCUAAAUUACAUUUUCACAUUUGUUCAGAAUAAUUAUCACUCUACAACACGUUAUAUUGACCCUAAAUAUAAAUAAUUAAAUUUUAGUUAAAAUUUGAUGUUAUGAAAUUCUAUCUCAAUACCUACUACACAGCAAUCAACAUUUUGCAAGUCGAUUAUUACGAAACAGAGGAAGUAAAUAUUCAUCUUUCAAGCGGAAUUUUCUUGGCGGGAAACGCAAACGUUGGAAAAAAAAAAAAACAAUAAGCAAAGCCAUGGCAAGGUGACUUCAAGAGAGAGAAAGAUGGCAGAUUAACGGAGCUUUCAUCGUUUGACGAAUUCUUCGUGCUCCUUCAAUCUCAGGUAAGCUAGAUUUCGUCUAUUUUUAGUGUUUUUGAUUUUUGCUAGCUUUUGUUUGAUUUUUGAUUACAAAUUCCAUUUUUAGGGUUUUCCGUCAUUCGAUGAAUUUGAAUGCAUUCGGUAGCAUUAAAUCUUGAAUUCUAUAAAUUAGAGUUCGAAUUGACGUGAAAUUAGGGUUUCCUUUUGGUGAUGAACAAUUUUGCUGAUUUCUUUGAUUUGCUAUAGAUUGUGCAUUGAAUUUUGCUUUUAACUUAUGUAUAGCAAAACUAUUUUGUUUUAAGACAAGUAAUUGAGCAUAAUUUAUCAGAAUUGGUGAAUUGAAACGAUGAUUCGCGAUAAUUAGCGCUAUACUUGAUAAAAGUGAUUUAUAUGGUAAAGCAUAUUAAUAAUUGUAAGUUUGUAAGUGUUAGAUUGUACUUAAGAUUUUAGGUUGGAAGAAAUUCACAAAUGCAUCCACAAUUUAGAAUUGAUCUCACCGAUGAAUGUUUUUGGGAGGUCUGAAUGUAUGUAUGUAUUUUGUCUUGCCCUGCCCCAACCUGGAGCCAAUGAUUAUUAAAAAGUUUGUUCCGGAAGUCCGGUUGGAAAAGGUGAAGUAGUUUUCAAUCUAGUAAAGUUGCUGAGCUGAUGAACUUGUAAAAUGAAAAUACAUUGUGAUUUUACAGUAUGCAAGAGAUUUUAUGUUGCUUAAGAGUUUCGUAGUCCUCCAUUUUAUGCAAACUUUGUUGUCCUUCCUUUCUUUCUUUUUCAGAAUGAAAUCGUGUUUUUUGUCUCUUUGUGAUCAAUGAAUUAGGAAAAGUAUUCUUGUUAAUGUUCUUCAAUAGCCCGUGUUUCCUAUUUUUUUGGCAAACCAGGAAUUAUGUCUUUCAGACCCUCAACUUUUAUUUAUGUAAAUCAAAAUAUAGGGAAAUUUUCGAUAAACCUAUCUUCCAUGUACAACUUUAUUGACUACCUUUGUACAUGUUCCUUUUUAAUUAUUAAGUUGGGUCUCUUGGUUUUUGCCCUAGACCACUUAGCAUCUUUGGUUAUUGCCGCAAAGUGAAGAUUAUGGAUGGGACCCAAUCAGACCAGAUUAUUGAAUUGUGAUGAUUCAUGAUCAUUAUCAAUAAUAACUACUAUGUUAUAUGAACUAUGACUUCAAGUUGCCUCAUAAACAUGAAGGUACAAUUAGGUUACAUUUAUCAUGGCUUGUUGGGGUUCUGAUGAGAGUAUUGAUUUCUGGUUUUACGACGUUUGAAUCUUAGUGUUAGAAACAUUUUGCACAGUGAGACACUCGAUCACAUAAUGUCUGUAUUCUGGUGUCAGGGUAACUGAAGUAUUACUUUAUUAAGCUGCUUGUCAAAAUUUGUAAUUUAGUAAAUAUAAGUGCAUUUGAUUCUUGAAAAGGGUAUGUCUGUAUAUGGUUUCUGAUUCAUAUUGAUCUCAUGAUUGAUGGAUCUUUUCCCUUAUUUGAGUUUAUGGAAUUCAGCUUCCGAUGUCAUUUGUUACUAGCUUUCAUAAUUUUAUGCCAUACUUAAGGUCUUAGAAGUGUUGUCUGAAAUUCAUGCUAUUUCUACAGGCUACAAUAAGAGGUAUACUGUGCUAUAACCCUCUUGUAUAUAUUCUAAUAUUAGCCAUACAUAAUUAUAUAAUUAUUUCAUAAGUGAACCUGAAUUUUAAUUCACUGAUUGUACAUAGCUAUUUUCAGUUGUAAGUAAACAGUGUUGUAAAAAUAACAAAUAUGUACUCACUAAAUUUAUUUGUCCUUUCUGAAGUUUAAAGUCUCCCUGAGAUCUACUUGACCUAAAUGACCAAGUAAUGAACUACAUAUGCAUAUUUUAGGGGGAUGUGCUAGUACAAUCAAGGAAACCUUAAUAACAGUGUUUGGUGAAACUGAUUAUUAUCAAAUUUAUGGAUGUUCGAUGUUGUAACAACAUGCUACAUAUAUUAAUCUGUCAACUACAUGUUCGGUGAAACUGAUUAUUGUCAAUUUAUGGUUGUUGCAACAACAUGCUACAUACAUUAAUCUGUCAAUCAGUUCAUUAAUACAUGAAUCCAUUUCUGCAUUGUAUGUUGCUGGUAGACAAAAUUGAAGAUGCCAAAUCAAAUAUAAUAGGCUCUUCCCCUUUUGCUCGAUGUCAUUGUUGUAGAGAUUCAUUAAGCAUGUUGCAGUGGAGAGAGAUAUUUUGCUGUUGCAUGUCCUGAGACUCUUGACAUUCAAUGACAGUAAAUUCCUUCUUUGUCCUGCAGUUUCUUCCUGUUGAGUGGUCAAUGUAGAAUGUUUAGGGCAAUUCACUCAAUGAGCCCCUACUUUAUCAUGCAUUGUAUAUUAAGAAACAUCAUGAACUCUAAUGUUGGAUCUCCCAAGUUUAUAAACUGCUUAUGCCAGAAGUAUACAUCUUUCUCUUCUUAUUUUAUGUUAUUAUUUUAUAUUAGCCUUGCAGGGGGAGGGGAGGUAAAAGCAUACCUUGACUAUUAACGCCAUUAUUGCAGUGGGCUUGAUGACUAAUAAUCUGUUUUGAGUAGCUCUUAAAGAGCAUUAACCGAGUCAUUAUUAGAUGCACUUCAAGAAAUCCACCCUAGGUAAAGUUAUGGAGCUUCCUCGCUUGAGAAGAUAUAUACAAGUUUUAGAGUUGGCUAAGAUGAUUCUUAAUUCUGUAUUGCUCCACUUUGUGCAACACCUCACCUACCUGGACUGUAGUAAUAAUGCAAAAAACUGGCCAAGUGAAUAUAAGGUUAAAUUUUAUCCUUUUUACAAUCUCUUGUACAUUCCAGAUUUGUCUGUAUAGUUCUAUAUUUUUUUUUACUGUUAUGAUCAGUGACCACUGCCUAAUUUAUCUAGUCUGCACUAGAUGUUUUCUUUUUGCUUUCCACCCCUUAUCUGCAGGGCUGUAGCAGGAUGAUUGCAUCACACUGCCAGGGACUUCUGUUUACAUGAAGGAAUCUAAAGCUGAUAGUCUACUGAAAUGUUAUGCUUGAAUUCGACAUGUUUCGUUUGACUCUGAAAUCCUUUUAAUGUGUUCGACCUGUUCGUUUGGUGGUGGCUUCCAACAAACCUUGAUAACAUAUACGGACUACUUACAAGGCAAUACAUGGUGCUAUACAUGUAUGUCUCUUGAAACUAAGCAACAACUAGAUGUUAUCUUAUGUUAUAGUUUAGGAGAAUCGAGAAUGUGGUAUAUUUUCCAUAGUGAUUAAUGUGUGGGAAAUAUUGUAACAUAUAAUUACAGGAUUUCGAAAUUAUCAAGUUUUAAUCGGUACCUUGUAGCAUGAAUAAAGGAUGAGCCUCGUUUUCUUA
Molecule: long non-coding RNA, 3624 nt
Organism: Chenopodium quinoa (quinoa)
Lineage: Eukaryota; Viridiplantae; Streptophyta; Magnoliopsida; Caryophyllales; Amaranthaceae
Exons: 2
Source: RefSeq, a predicted model, not a curated record